This 184-nucleotide non-coding RNA is filed under the name Spirochaetales bacterium. Its description in RNAcentral is "6S RNA". It matches the Rfam family "6S / SsrS RNA". Rfam says of the family: E. coli 6S RNA was the first non coding RNA to be sequenced, but its function was unknown until recently. Lineage: Bacteria; Pseudomonadati; Spirochaetota; Spirochaetia; Spirochaetales. The record is from RNAcentral.
CGAGCCCUGCUGUGUUCGCGAGGAGAUUUUUAUCUUCUUGGGUCAAACCACUUUUACGGGAUUCCUAAUUUCAGUUGUUGAUUGCCAUCCGGCAAUGCCUGAAAGCAUGAUUCGCUGAUGCGGAAACCCACUUGAACUUUACGGUUCAAGAGGAUGUUCUCCGGACGGCGCGAGCGGGGUUUUU